RNAcentral lists this long non-coding RNA (435 nucleotides) under Cavia porcellus (domestic guinea pig). Its description in RNAcentral is "lncRNA (ENSCPOG00000034515.1)". Lineage: Eukaryota; Metazoa; Chordata; Mammalia; Rodentia; Caviidae. The record is from RNAcentral.
GCCAUAUCUACGGUGGCCUUCAGGGCUCCACCAUCCUCACAUGGCCACGCUAGGGUCCUGGCUUCCAGCACAUGAACCUUCUGGGGACAAACCACAUCCUGCCACAGACUUUUGUCCACCGCUAUUUUGAAUACUGUAUUCUACCAAGUCCAGAAGUAACUGUGCUUUCUCCAGAAUGGCCACACAAAGAGCUCCAUGGCUACCCAGGGAGGUAAAAGUUCUUCUGUCCAAAUAUCUCUUGGGCUGUGGACACUGACAGAGGCAUCAGACAGAGCAGCCCCCUGACUCCUCAGCCCCCCAGGGCAGCAGCUGUGCCUCCUAAAACACCAGAGCCAGGGGCAUGGGAGAAGGCGCGAAGGGCCAGAUGCUGCACUUCUCACGCUGACCACUGGAUCAUGGGCCAGACAGGUGAGUUGUGGGUCAUCUGAAUUUCCC